Molecule: non-coding RNA, 1207 nt
Organism: Procambarus clarkii (red swamp crayfish)
Lineage: Eukaryota; Metazoa; Arthropoda; Malacostraca; Decapoda; Cambaridae
Source: RefSeq, a predicted model, not a curated record
CAACAGUUGAUUGGGAAGUUUUCAUGCUUGUAAACUGUUUAAUAAAUGUAACCAAAGCCGUCAAAGAUUGAGGAAAGUUGUACACGUUCGUAAGUACUUGCGUAACUGCUUCGUGAGUCUGGCCCCUGGUUCUUAGCACUUUGGCGAGUCACGAACUUAAUUUUUAUUGUCUGAAAAGCUCUUCUGUUGGCACGUUAAUUAAUGUUUUAUGUUAUGUUUAUUUUUAAGUGAUUUUUAACUUGAAGACUUUAUAGAAGAAUGUUGUGGUAACGUGAACUGGUUGUUAAUUCAUGCAGUUAGUGUUGUAGAUACAAUAAGUGUUGUACAAUGUUGUAAAUAGAGAAAGUAAUUGUAAUUAAUAAUUAAGUAAUAGUAAGUAAUAUGACUUUUCAUGUGUUUGCCAUAGGGACAAUUUCUUGUAUAUUUGUUGUUACCGGAGUUAAGGCUUUUGUUACUUAAUGAAAACAUGAAUAGAAGUUGAAAGUAUGUGUGGCACACUUGAACGUGCACUCACACUCACUACAGCAUGGUUACGCUAAUAGUCCCGUAUCUCAUCCUGGAAUGCAGAUGAGAAGUCACAAUAACGUGACUGAAAUAUGUUGACCAGACCACACACUAGAAAGUGAAGAGACGACGACGUUUCGGUCCGUCCUGGACCAUUCUCAAGUCGAUUGUAAAUACAAUGAUGUAAAUACUUCGACGUUGACAUCCUGGAAUGUUAUGAUAUUCAGUAUGAUGUUGACUUUGAUAAUGACAUGCUUUCAAUAUUAUGAGAAAUUUAGCUUUCCCAGUGUACCUGGGAGUUGUAUAAGUACCUCGAUAAAAUAUCCGGUGAAUGUGAUUCCUUUGGUUCAUCUGAUGUCUUUCUGCUCUCGGACUGACAUCCUAAAUGAUACCGUGAAUAUUUAGAAUAAUUUGAAACAUAGAUGGCCCUAUAUAGUCAUCCGGGCUUGGCGCAUUCUUUUGAUUAAUACGUGAAAUUGAAGAAGUCCAUAGAGCUGGUGAGCAGGGGGAUGGAAGGGGUUGGAUAUAGGAAAUCUUGAAGUAAGAUUGAGAGAUAAGGUAGAGAAGAGGAAAUACAAGUUAGUGGCCUUUGGCACUUUGGCUUUGUGGGUGAUUCUGAUGCUGUGAUAAGUUCACCUUUUGUGAAUUAGAAAUAAUGAACUGCAAAUGUUAAAAAAUAUAAUGCAUUAAAACUCUGAAAAUU